GAGUUUGAUCCUGGCUCAGAACGAACGCUGGCGGCGUGCUUAACACAUGCAAGUCGAACGAGAUACCGGAGCUUGCUCCGGUGGAAAGUGGCGAACGGGUGAGUAACACGUGAGAAAUCUGUCCUAGAGACCGGGACAACCAUCGGAAACGAUGGCUAAUACCGGAUACCCUCAGACGGCCGCAUGGUCGAGUGAGGAAAUGCUCAGGUGCUCUAGGAGGAUCUCGCGGCCUAUCAGCUAGUUGGUGGGGUAACGGCCUACCAAGGCAUCGACGGGUAGCUGGUCUGAGAGGACGAUCAGCCACACUGGGACUGAGACACGGCCCAGACUCCUACGGGAGGCAGCAGUGGGGAAUAUUGCGCAAUGGGCGAAAGCCUGACGCGGCAACGCCGCGUGAGGGAUGACGGCUUUCGGGUUGUAAACCUCUUUCAGUGAUGACGAAAAUGACGGUAGUCACAGAAGAAGCUCCGGCCAACUACGUGCCAGCAGCCGCGGUAACACGUAGGGAGCGAGCGUUGUCCGGAUUUAUUGGGCGUAAAGAGCUCGUAGGCGGUUUCGUAAGUCGGAUGUGAAAACUCAGGGCUCAACCCUGAGACGCCAUCUGAUACUGCGAUGACUAGAGUCCGGUAGAGGAGCAUGGAAUUCCUGGUGUAGCGGUGGAAUGCGCAGAUAUCAGGAGGAACACCAACGGCGAAGGCAGUGCUCUGGGCCGGUACUGACGCUGAGGAGCGAAAGCAUGGGGAGCAAACAGGAUUAGAUACCCUGGUAGUC
RNAcentral lists this ribosomal RNA (771 nucleotides) under uncultured bacterium. RNAcentral's name for it is "bacterial SSU rRNA". It matches the Rfam family "Bacterial small subunit ribosomal RNA", at positions 9 to 795 of the family's 1533-position model. The record is from RNAcentral.